GGCGGUGUUUGAAGUCGGCGUAGAUCUUCAGAAGACGAUCCAGGCAACGAUAACAGCUCAACAGACCUGGCCGUCGCUGGUUAACACCUCGCAACACAUCACGUUUCCCCUCACCAAUACCAACAGCUCCUCUGAGACGGAGGUUGUUCUAGAGAACCCAGCAGAUGUCCCAGUGUAUGUCCAGAUCCUUCCUCUGGCUCUCUACCCGAACCCCUCCGUGUUUGCUGGGAAACUAGGCGACAGGUUCCCACUGGGAAAGUUGUCCA
This is a non-coding RNA of Salvelinus sp. IW2-2015, 266 nucleotides long. Lineage: Eukaryota; Metazoa; Chordata; Actinopteri; Salmoniformes; Salmonidae. The record is from RefSeq and is a predicted model, not a curated record.